CCUACGGGUGGCUGCAGUGGGGAAUAUUGGACAAUGGGCGAAAGCCUGAUCCAGCCAUGCCGCGUGUGUGAAGAAGGCCUUCGGGUUGUAAAGCACUUUCAGUGGGGAAGAAAGCCUUGGGGCUAAUACCCUCGAGGAAGGACAUCACCCACAGAAGAAGCACCGGCUAACUCCGUGCCAGCAGCCGCGGUAAUACGAGGGUGCGAGCGUUAAUCGGAAUUACUGGGCGUAAAGCGCGCGUAGGCGGUCUGAUAAGCCGGUUGUGAAAGCCCCGGGCUCAACCUGGGAACGGCAUCCGGAACUGUCAGGCUAGAGUGCAGGAGAGGAAGGUAGAAUUCCCGGUGUAGCGGUGAAAUGCGUAGAGAUCGGGAGGAAUACCAGUGGCGAAGGCGGCCUUCUGGACUGACACUGACGCUGAGGUGCGAAAGCGUGGGUAGCAAACAGGAUUAGAUACCCGGGUAGUC
RNAcentral lists this ribosomal RNA (464 nucleotides) under Vreelandella stevensii. RNAcentral describes it as "partial 16S ribosomal RNA". It matches the Rfam family "Bacterial small subunit ribosomal RNA", at positions 338 to 795 of the family's 1533-position model. The record is from RNAcentral. Lineage: Bacteria; Pseudomonadati; Pseudomonadota; Gammaproteobacteria; Oceanospirillales; Halomonadaceae.